Molecule: ribosomal RNA, 732 nt
Filed under: Vibrio sp.
Lineage: Bacteria; Pseudomonadati; Pseudomonadota; Gammaproteobacteria; Vibrionales; Vibrionaceae
Description: bacterial SSU rRNA
Rfam family: Bacterial small subunit ribosomal RNA
Source: RNAcentral
UGCAAGUCGAGCGGAACGAGUUAUCUGAACCUUCGGGGAACGAUAACGGCGUCGAGCGGCGGACGGGUGAGUAAUGCCUAGGAAAUUGCCCUGAUGUGGGGGAUAACCAUUGGAAACGAUGGCUAAUACCGCAUAAUGCCUACGGGCCAAAGAGGGGGACCUUCGGGCCUCUCGCGUCAGGAUAUGCCUAGGUGGGAUUAGCUAGUUGGUGAGGUAAUGGCUCACCAAGGCGACGAUCCCUAGCUGGUCUGAGAGGAUGAUCAGCCACACUGGAACUGAGACACGGUCCAGACUCCUACGGGAGGCAGCAGUGGGGAAUAUUGCACAAUGGGCGCAAGCCUGAUGCAGCCAUGCCGCGUGUGUGAAGAAGGCCUUCGGGUUGUAAAGCACUUUCAGUCGUGAGGAAGGUAGUGUAGUUAAUAGCUGCAUUAUUUGACGUUAGCGACAGAAGAAGCACCGGCUAACUCCGUGCCAGCAGCCGCGGUAAUACGGAGGGUGCGAGCGUUAAUCGGAAUUACUGGGCGUAAAGCGCAUGCAGGUGGUUUGUUAAGUCAGAUGUGAAAGCCCGGGGCUCAACCUCGGAAUUGCAUUUGAAACUGGCAGACUAGAGUACUGUAGAGGGGGGUAGAAUUUCAGGUGUAGCGGUGAAAUGCGUAGAGAUCUGAAGGAAUACCGGUGGCGAAGGCGGCCCCCUGGACAGAUACUGACACUCAGAUGCGAAAGCGUGGGGAG